RNAcentral lists this ribosomal RNA (508 nucleotides) under uncultured microorganism. Its description in RNAcentral is "bacterial SSU rRNA". It matches the Rfam family "Bacterial small subunit ribosomal RNA", at positions 9 to 514 of the family's 1533-position model. The record is from RNAcentral.
GAGUUUGAUCGUGGCUCAGAUUGAACGCUGGCGGCAGGCCUAACACAUGCAAGUCGAGCGGAUGAAGGGAGCUUGCUCCUGGAUUCAGCGGCGGACGGGUGAGUAAUGCCUAGGAAUCUGCCUGGUAGUGGGGAUAACGUCCGGAAACGGGCGCUAAUACCGCAUACGUCCUGAGGGAGAAAGUGGGGGAUCUUCGGACCUCACGCUAUCAGAUGAGCCUAGGUCGGAUUAGCUAGUUGGUGGGGUAAAGGCCUACCAAGGCGACGAUCCGUAACUGGUCUGAGAGGAUGAUCAGUCACACUGGAACUGAGACACGGUCCAGACUCCUACGGGAGGCAGCAGUGGGGAAUAUUGGACAAUGGGCGAAAGCCUGAUCCAGCCAUGCCGCGUGUGUGAGAAGGUCUUCGGAUUGUAAAGCACUUUAAGUUGGGAGGAAGGGCAGUAAGUUAAUACCUUGCUGUUUUGACGUUACCAACAGAAUAAGCACCGGCUAACUUCGUGCCAGCCG